This 403-nucleotide ribosomal RNA is filed under the name uncultured Acetivibrio sp. RNAcentral describes it as "bacterial SSU rRNA". It matches the Rfam family "Bacterial small subunit ribosomal RNA", at positions 355 to 773 of the family's 1533-position model. Lineage: Bacteria; Bacillati; Bacillota; Clostridia; Acetivibrionales; Acetivibrionaceae. The record is from RNAcentral.
GGGGGAAUAUUAGGCAAUGGGGGGAAACCCUGACCUAGCAACGCCGCGUGAAGGAUGAAGGUUUUCGGAUUGUAAACUUCUUUGGCAGGGGACGAUAAUGACGGUACCCUGAGAACAAGCCACGGCUAACUACGUUGCCAGCAGCCGCGGUAAUACGUAGGUGGCAAGCGUUGUCCGGAUUUACUGGGUGUAAAGGGCGUGUAGCCGGGUCUGCAAGUCAGAUGUGAAAUCCAUGGGCUUAACCCAUGAACUGCAUUUGAAACUGUGGAUCUUGAGUGCUGGAGGGGCAAUCGGAAUUCCUAGUGUAGCGGUGAAAUGCGUAGAUAUUAGGAGGAACACCAGUGGCGAAGGCGGAUUGCUGGACAGUAACUGACGGUGAGGCGCGAAAGCGUGGGGAGCAAAC